This 460-nucleotide ribosomal RNA is filed under the name uncultured bacterium. Its description in RNAcentral is "partial 16S ribosomal RNA". It matches the Rfam family "Bacterial small subunit ribosomal RNA", at positions 338 to 795 of the family's 1533-position model. The record is from RNAcentral.
CCUACGGGAGGCAGCAGUGAGGAAUAUUGGUCAAUGGGCGCGAGCCUGAACCAGCCAAGUAGCGUGAAGGAUGACUGCCCUACGGGUUGUAAACCUCUUUUAUAAAGGAAUAAAGUGCGGCACGUGUGCCUUUUUGCAUGUACCUUAUGAAUAAGGACCGGCUAAUUCCGUGCCAGCAGCCGCGGUAAUACGGAGGGGCCGAGCGUUAUCCGGAUUUAUUGGGGUUAAAGGGAGCGUAGGUGGGGUGUUAAGUCAGGUGUGAAAGUUUGCGGCUCAACCGGAGAAUUGCAGUUGAAACUGGCAGCCUGGAGUACAGUAGAGGUAGGCGGAAUUCGUGGUGUAGCGGUGAAAUGCAUAGAUAUCACGAGGAACACCGAUUGCGAAGGCAGCCUGCUGGACUGCGACUGACGUUGAGGCUCGAAAGUGUGGGUAUCAAACAGGAUUAGAUACCCCAGUAGUC